RNAcentral lists this ribosomal RNA (395 nucleotides) under Clostridioides difficile. RNAcentral's name for it is "bacterial SSU rRNA". It matches the Rfam family "Bacterial small subunit ribosomal RNA", at positions 965 to 1359 of the family's 1533-position model. Lineage: Bacteria; Bacillati; Bacillota; Clostridia; Peptostreptococcales; Peptostreptococcaceae. The record is from RNAcentral.
AGAGCCUUCCGUAAGCUGGAGUGCACAAUGAAAUUUCCUGUAUCGGGGAUUUCCCGGCGGGGAGAUUGGUGACAGGGGGUGCCUGAUUGUGGUCAGCUCGUGUCGUGGGAUGUUGGGUUAAGUCCCGCAACGAGCGCAACCCUUGUCUUUAGUUGCCAGCAUUAAGUUGGGCACUCUAGAGAGACUGCCAGGGAUAACCUGGAGGACGGUGGGGAUGACGUCAAAUCAUCAUGCCCCUUAUGCUUAGGGCUACACACGGGCUACAAUGGGUAGUACAGAGGGUUGCCACGCCGUAACGUGGAGCCAGUUCCUUUAAGCUCCUAUCAGUUGGGAUUGUAGGCUGAACCUCGCCUACACGAAGCAGGCGGUACUGGUAAUAGUCGUACAGAAUGCCG